This 343-nucleotide unclassified non-coding RNA is filed under the name soil metagenome. RNAcentral describes it as "partial contains 5.8S ribosomal RNA, internal transcribed spacer 2, and large subunit ribosomal RNA". The stretch from base 1 to 120 matches the Rfam family "5.8S ribosomal RNA", at positions 35 to 154 of the family's 154-position model. The record is from RNAcentral.
GAUGAAGAACGCAGCGAAAUGCGAUAAGUAAUGUGAAUUGCAGAAUUCAGUGAAUCAUCGAAUCUUUGAACGCACAUUGCGCCCGCUAGUAUUCUGGCGGGCAUGCCUGUCCGAGGGUCAUUUCAACCCUCAAGCCCCCGGGCUUGGUGUUGGGGAUCGGCGAGCCUCCGCGCCCGCCGUCCCCUAAAUCUAGUGGCGGUCUCGCUGUAGCUUCCUCUGCGUAGUAGCACACCUCGCACUGGGAAACAGCGCGGCCACGCCGUUAAACCCCCAACUUCUGAACGUUUGACCUCGGAUCAGGUAGGAAUACCCGCUGAACUUAAGCAUAUCAAUAAGCGGAGGA